GGGCAGGUGGCGGAGCGGCAAACGCGGUAGAUUGCAAAUCUACAGACAAUUGUCUUCAUGGGUUCGAGUCCCAUCCUGCCCU
RNAcentral lists this transfer RNA (82 nucleotides) under Armatimonadota bacterium. Its description in RNAcentral is "tRNA-Cys". It matches the Rfam family "tRNA". From Rfam's summary of the family: Transfer RNA (tRNA) molecules are approximately 80 nucleotides in length. Their secondary structure includes four short double-helical elements and three loops (D, anti-codon, and T loops). Further hydrogen bonds mediate the characteristic L-shaped molecular structure. tRNAs have two regions of fundamental functional importance: the anti-codon, which is responsible for specific mRNA codon recognition, and the 3' end, to which the tRNAs corresponding amino acid is attached (by aminoacyl-tRNA synthetases). tRNAs cope with the degeneracy of the genetic code in two manners: having more than one tRNA (with a specific anti-codon) for a particular amino acid; and 'wobble' base-pairing, i.e. permitting non-standard base-pairing at the 3rd anti-codon position. The record is from RNAcentral. Lineage: Bacteria; Bacillati; Armatimonadota.